This 484-nucleotide ribosomal RNA is filed under the name uncultured bacterium. Its description in RNAcentral is "partial 16S ribosomal RNA". It matches the Rfam family "Bacterial small subunit ribosomal RNA", at positions 30 to 507 of the family's 1533-position model. The record is from RNAcentral.
AUUGAACGCUGGCGGCAGGCCUAACACAUGCAAGUCGAGCGGAUGAAGGGAGCUUGCUCCUUGAUUCAGCGGCGGACGGGUGAGUAAUUCCUAGGAAUCUGCCUGGUAGUGGUUGCUAACGUCCGGAAACGGGCGCUAAUACCGCAUACGUCCUGAGGGAGAAAGUGGGGGAUCUUCGGACCUUACGCUAUCAGAUGAGCCUAGGUCGGAUUAGCUAGUUGGUGGGGUAAAGGCCUACCAAGGCGACGAUCCGUAACUGGUCUGAGAGGAUGAUCAGUCACACUGGAACUGAGACACGGUCCAGACUCCUACGGGAGGCAGCAGUGGGGAAUAUUGGACAAUGGGCGAAAGCCUGAUCCAGCCAUGCCGCGUGUGUGAAGAAGGUCUUCGGAUUGUAAAGCACUUUAAGUUGGGAGGAAGGGCAGUAAGUUAAUACCUUGCUGUUUUGACGGUACCAACAGAUUAAGCACCGGCUAACUUCGUG